GUACUGAGGCAGCAGCGGGACCCUCCGGCAGAUGCAGCCCCCACUCCAGGGUGCUGAGCUUCGUGUCCUGCCCAGGCGGAGUGACCCAGCCCCAGUGGCAGCGCGGGAGGCUGGCAGCUGUCCUGUCCCACAAGCUGGUGUCGCUGCGCGGGGCCCUGCGGAGGAGCCAGGAGAGGACGCAAGAGCUGGGAGCUGGUGCUCAGGGGACCUGGAGAGAAAGGGAGAGAGGCAGCAGGGCUGGCUGGGCGCCGCUGGCAUGGACACAGGACCAGCUGGACCUGGAGAAUGUGGUGGGCACCCCAAGUUGGGUAAAGCAGGGUGGGGGCUGGGGGGGCUCUGGGUGAGCUGGGGGACAGCAGGGUGAGGGGCUGGGCUGGCCAGGGCUGCGGCUACACGGGGAGGAAAGCGCGGAGCUGCUUCUGUGUGGAGGAGGUGGGAAGUGGAGAAGAGGGGGGGUCCUGUCUCAGCAGGGGCUCUCAGAGAGGCUGUGAUGGGGGCACGGGGCAGGCACGAAGGGCAACGUUGGCUCUGCGAGACGAGAAACUGGAGCUGCAGGAGGUCGGUGCGUGCUGUGGGUCUGGGGCUGCGUGGGACAGACCCGGGGAGGGAGGGAGCGGGUCCCUUGUCAAGGCCAAGCCCCUCAUCCAGCCACCUGCGUGUCCCCUGUUGGGGUAUGGCCAAGUUCCUAAAACAGUUUAAAGAGAGAGGAUCCGUGGGGAAAAGCAGCCCUGUGGCUGUGCCCGGGCCUGGCUGGUUGGGCUGCAGCCUGAGAGGUCCCUUGUGGCACAGGCAAGGCUUGCAGCUCCUGCAGUGUUGGCACGAUGCUGGUUGCCGCCGUGCCCACGCUUCCCACCCAGCCUGAGCCAGCGUUGGGGGGACUGCACAUGGGAAGUGCCUUGCUGGGCCUGGGUGACGUGUUGGGGUGGCCCCACGGGGUGGGGACCCAUCUCUUCGUGCAGAGGCUCCGCGAGCUGCAGCAUCGAACCCGCUCCCUCCUGCGGCAGCGGCUGGAGACCCUGGAGCGGCUCCGUGUGCUGCUGCGGGAGGAGAAGGCGGCCGCGCCUCGGCAGCUCCAGGAGGCUAUGGAGAAGGAGCGGGACUGGAGGCAGCAGCGGGCCCGGCGGCAGAAGCGGGAGCAUCUUCACCGGGAGAAGGCGGCAGCGGUGGGAGGCCUGGAGGAGCCGCUGGCCCAAGUGAGUGCCCUGCAGGAGGCAGGGAUGUGCGGGGUGGGACCCCCCCCUUUUUGUCCUCCCUGUCCUGUCCGAACCGGGACUGAAGACGCCGCCUGUGUGCAGAGAUGGAGCCAACGUCUGCGCCUCCGCUCCGCCGCGUCCCAGUCCCCAAGCACCGCGCCCGGCCUCCAGCAGCACGGCCCUGGGUCCCUGGGUCUCCUGCACCAUGUCCAGCGCUGCCUGCAGGAGCUGCAGGUGGAUAAGACACACCGCACAGGCAACCUGGAGAACCCCAAAGUCCUGGGAAGAGAGCUGGGCGCCGCAGCAAGCGAGGAGGAAUGGGGACAGCCUGGGACAGGGGACUCGCCCUCCACCGCAGCCUCACCCAAACAAGAGCAGAGGUUCCUGGUACCAGACACCUCACGCCCCAGCAGGAGCAGCAGGAGGAAACACGACUGCAGGAGGAGUCGUCUGCUGUGACAGGGACUUGGACUGGGGCACAGAGGUGCUGAGACAUCCCUGGCUGCUCCAUCUCCCUGUACGUGCCCAGAAGAACCAGCCAUAAAGCUGCUGGACCCUCCCUUUGCAGGACGUUUCCCACAGACCUUUCCAAAUGGAAACUUCCCUUCGGGUCCUCCUGGUUGUGCUCCUUUCCAGAGCUGGUGGCUGAGGGACAUUUGUCUUGGGUGCGAUCGGAACGGGUCUGGGUCUCCACCAGGCCAUUGCCCAGGUCCAGCCAGGCCAACAUUGGAGCCCUACCAGCAUCUUUACUUUCUUUGCAUUCCCUAAGGAACUUGGGGUGGUGACGUCCCUACCACAGGGGUGGCGGUGGAGUGGGGCUGGGGAGGAUGCUCUGGGGUUGGGAAGAGAUGUGGGGAAGGAAAAGAGGGUGCAAGGGCUGGAAGAAGGCUUGUGCCUUUCCAGCGCAAGGUGGAGGCUGAGGCCACGCACACUUUGCAAGCAGGAUGUGGGCUCCGAGUUGGUGAAUCCUGCACCCAGAAGCCAAAGCAUUUCAGGUGGAAAAAAAAGUCUUCAGCUGGCAAGUGCCUGGCUGGCAGGAGGCAGGGCUGGCAGGCAGGAGGAAGGGGGCUCAGGAGGUGUCUCAUGCACUGGGUGCCCCAGGGGAGCUCAAGGGUCUGGCAGCAGGUCCCUGGGCUGGGCUGGUUUGGUGCCUCCAUGGGACUGAGCUUCCUGCAGAGCCUGGUCCUGGGUGUGAGAGAGGAGAAAUCUGGCUCCGGCUCCCUCCAGCUGCCCCAGGCAGCUCGGCCCCUGCUCCUGGAGCUCCAGGUGUUCCCAGGCAAGCAGGACACGGCCACACAGCCAAGCCGGGGGCACCACACCAGCCCCGGGAUGGUUGCAGGAAGGAACACUUAAUGGAAAAAAAAAAAAAAAAGGAAAAU
Long non-coding RNA from Anser brachyrhynchus (Pink-footed goose), 2572 nucleotides. The record is from Ensembl. NCBI's taxonomy places the organism in Eukaryota, Metazoa, Chordata, Aves, Anseriformes, Anatidae.